This 440-nucleotide ribosomal RNA is filed under the name uncultured bacterium. RNAcentral's name for it is "partial 16S ribosomal RNA". It matches the Rfam family "Bacterial small subunit ribosomal RNA", at positions 338 to 795 of the family's 1533-position model. The record is from RNAcentral.
CCUACGGGUGGCUGCAGUGGGGAAUAUUGCACAAUGGGGGAAACCCUGAUGCAGCGACGCCGCGUGAAGGAAGAAGUAUUUCGGUAUGUAAACUUCUAUCAGCAGGGGAGAAAAUGACGGUACCUGACUAAGAAGCCACGGCUAACUACGUGCCAGCAGCCGCGGUAAUACGUAGGGGGCAAGCGUUAUCCGGAUUUACUGGGUGUAAAGGGAGCGUAGGCGGUUCAGCAAGUCAGAAGGGAAAGCCCGGGGGUUAACCCCGGGACUGCUGUUGAAACUGGUGAACUAGAUUGCAGGAGAGGUAAGUGGAAUGCCUGGUGUAGCGGUGAAAUGCGUAGAUAUUAGGAGGAACACCGGUGGCGAAGGCGGCUUACUGGACUGUAAAUGACGCUGAGGCUCGAAAGCGUGGGGAGCGAACAGGAUUAGAUACCCCGGUAGUC